GAUGAACGCUGGCGGCGUGCCUAAUACAUGCAAGUCGAGCGAACAGACGAGGAGCUUGCUCCUCUGACGUUAGCGGCGGACGGGUGAGUAACACGUGGAUAACCUACCUAUAAGACUCGGAUAACUUCGGGAAACCGGAGCCAAUACCGGAUAAUAUAUUGAACCGCAUGGUUCAAUAGUGAAAGACGGUCUUGCUGCCACUUAUAGAUGGAUCCGCGCCGCACUAGCUAGUUGGUAAGGUAACGGCUUACCAAGGCGACGACGGGUAGCCGACCUGAGAGGGGGAGCGGCCACGGGGGCACUGAGACAGGGUCCAGGCUCCGACGGGGGGGAGCAGUAGGGGAUGGGCAGCAAUGGGCGAGGGCGGGAGGGAGCAGCGGCGCGGGAGUGAUGGGGGUGUUCGGAUCGGAGAAGUCUGCUAUUAGGGAAGAAGAAAUGGGUAAGUAGCUGGGCGGGUCGUGACGGUAGCUGAAGAGAAAGCCACGGCUAACUACGUG
Molecule: ribosomal RNA, 497 nt
Filed under: uncultured bacterium
Lineage: Bacteria
Description: partial 16S ribosomal RNA
Rfam family: Bacterial small subunit ribosomal RNA
Source: RNAcentral